AGGUGCUCUGCGGCAGUGGGAGCCGGUGAUUGGCUUGAAGCCGUGCUGCUGGCCGCUCCGUCGGCCAAUGAGCCGUGAGCCCCGGGCCUCUUCAGCCGACGGGAACAUCUGGAGAGGGACCUGGAGUCAUAUCAGCGACCGACCGGCAGAGGGAGAUGGACAGUACCUGUGGUCGUUCCCCAGACCGGGCGGGGCUGUCCGGUCUCUCAGCGGGCGUUCUGGAGGCCAUUGGCCCGCUGUUGCUAGGAGACAAAGCCUUGCUGUCUCUAUGGCAACGGGCGAGAGGUGGACAAGAGCACGAAGAGGGCGGAGCCGAAGGCCUGUCGUCAUGGAGACAUGAGGUAAUCCAACACGGAACCUGUGGGCACCACCUGGUCGCCCCCCCGGCACCACCUGGUCCCCUCCCGGCACCACCUGGUCAGGGACCACCUGCCCCCCCCCCCCCC
This is a long non-coding RNA of Gadus morhua (Atlantic cod), 446 nucleotides long. RefSeq lists it as uncharacterized. NCBI's taxonomy places the organism in Eukaryota, Metazoa, Chordata, Actinopteri, Gadiformes, Gadidae. The transcript has 3 exons. The record is from RefSeq and is a predicted model, not a curated record.